GGUUCGCCGAGUAUAAGGUGGGGAGGCUUGGAUCUAUUCUUGCGGGAAUAUGGGAGCCAUCAGUGAGAUACCACUCUUGUAAUGUUAGAUUUCUAACUUUGUAUCAUUAUCUGGUCAAAGGACAGUUUCAGGCGGGCAGUUUGACUGGGGCGGUCGCCUCCCAAAUGGUAACGGAGGCGUACAAAGGUUUCCUCUGAACGUGUAGAAAUCGUAUCUAGAGUGUAAAGGCAUAAGGAAGCUUGACUGUGAGACCUACAAGUCGAGCAGGGACGAAAGUCGGUCUUAGUGAUCUGACGGUGCUGAGUGGAAAGGCCGUCACUCAACGGAUAAAAGUUACUCUAGGGAAACCCAGGCUGAA
RNAcentral lists this ribosomal RNA (358 nucleotides) under uncultured organism. RNAcentral's name for it is "bacterial LSU rRNA". It matches the Rfam family "Bacterial large subunit ribosomal RNA", at positions 2131 to 2486 of the family's 2925-position model. The record is from RNAcentral.